AGGGACUUGCUCAGAUAAUUAUGAAUAUGGAGAUGUGCUGGAGACAGCUGAAGAUUUCAUUCAAAACAACACAGUUUAAUGGAAAUUAGGUUGAGGUAUUCUGAUUCUCGAGGAGCCAAUCUGAUGUAACUUUGAAAAGCAAAAUGAUUUGUUCCAACUUACCUGCUGCCGCGGUUCUAUCAAUGAGGUGAUCGUCCUUUCUGCUGCUUCGAUACACUGUCUUCAGCAGAAACUAUGGAAUGCCGCUGAAUACUAUUGAACUUCUAUGGUCGAGUGUCUAUUGACUGGUUGCAUCACUGCCUGAUAUGGUAACUCAAACACCCAGGAAUGAAGAAGGCUGCAAAAAGUGGGCUUUGAAUGGGCAGGGAUGAUAAACAAGAAACUUCUGAACAUUUCCAAAAAUGAUUCAGCACCUCUGUUUCUCCUGUAUUUGUGCUCCUGGUCUCCUGCUGUAUCAACAUUAAUGUAAUCCCCUCUAUCGCCACAUGGUGGCUUUCACACCUCUCCAAAACAUCCCCACACACAGACCGGUCCUGAACCAACACAUUGAACUAGUCACACAGCAUUGAAACAGGCCCUUCUGUCCAACUCGUCCAUGUCAACUAAGAUGCCCCGUCUAAACUAGUCUCACCUGCCCACCUUUGGCCCAUAUCCUUCUAAACCUUUCCUAUCUGUGUACCUAGCUAAAUGUCUUUUAAAUGUUGAAAGGCUAUCGGCCUAUUGCAAGUUUAUGUACAGGGACAUAUCUAUCCAUGCACUGUAUACUUGUAUUCAUACUUAUGCAUUUCAAAUAUGUAUGCCAUGUUUUAUACUUUGGCAAUAUAACAAUGUUUUUUUUAUCAUGCCAAUAAAGUUUUUAAAUUGAAUUGAAUUGAAAAUUGA
Long non-coding RNA from Leucoraja erinaceus (little skate), 882 nucleotides. RefSeq lists it as uncharacterized. The record is from RefSeq and is a predicted model, not a curated record. The transcript is spliced from 3 exons. NCBI's taxonomy places the organism in Eukaryota, Metazoa, Chordata, Chondrichthyes, Rajiformes, Rajidae.